UGGGGAAUUUUGCGCAAUGGGGGAAACCCUGACGCAGCAACGCCGCGUGGGUGAUGAAGGCCUUCGGGUCGUAAAGCUCUGUCUGGAGGGAAGAAAUGAUUGGGAGCUAAUACCUCUUGAUCUUGACGGUACCUCUGAAGGAAGCACCGGCUAACUCCGUGCCAGCAGCCGCGGUAAUACGGAGGGUGCAAGCGUUGUUCGGAAUUAUUGGGCGUAAAGCGCGUGUAGGCGGUCUUUUAAGUCUGAUGUGAAAGCCCCGGGCUCAACCUGGGAAGUGCAUUGGAAACUGGGAGGCUUGAGUACGGGAGAGGAGAGUGGAAUUCCUAGUGUAGGAGUGAAAUCCGUAGAUAUUAGGAGGAACACCGGUGGCGAAGGCGGCUCUCUGGACCGAUACUGACGCUGAGACGCGAAAGCGUGGGUAGCAAACA
RNAcentral lists this ribosomal RNA (428 nucleotides) under uncultured bacterium. RNAcentral describes it as "bacterial SSU rRNA". It matches the Rfam family "Bacterial small subunit ribosomal RNA", at positions 355 to 774 of the family's 1533-position model. The record is from RNAcentral.